RNAcentral lists this ribosomal RNA (395 nucleotides) under uncultured bacterium. RNAcentral describes it as "bacterial SSU rRNA". It matches the Rfam family "Bacterial small subunit ribosomal RNA", at positions 54 to 432 of the family's 1533-position model. The record is from RNAcentral.
CAUGCAAGUCGAACGAGAAUCUACUGAAGGAGGAUUCGUCCAACGGAUGUAGAGGAAAGUGGCGGACGGGUGAGUAACGCGUGAGGAACCUGCCUUGAAGAGGGGGACAACAGUUGGAAACGACUGCUAAUACCGCAUGAAGCAUAGGGGUCGCAUGAUUCUUAUGCCAAAGAUUUAUCGCUUCAAGAUGGCCUCGCGUCUGAUUAGCUAGUUGGCGGGGUAACGGCCCACCAAGGCGACGAUCAGUAGCCGGACUGAGAGGUUGAACGGCCACAUUGGGACUGAGAUACGGCCCAGACUCCUACGGGAGGCAGCAGUGGGGAAUAUUGGGCAAUGGGCGCAAGCCUGACCCAGCAACGCCGCGUGAAGGAAGAAGGCUUUCGGGUUGUAAACUU